Molecule: ribosomal RNA, 253 nt
Filed under: uncultured bacterium
Lineage: Bacteria
Description: partial 16S ribosomal RNA
Rfam family: Bacterial small subunit ribosomal RNA
Source: RNAcentral
UACGUAGGGUGCAAGCGUUAAUCGGAAUUACUGGGCGUAAAGAGCUCGUAGGCGGACUGUCACGUCCGCUGUGAAAAGCUGGGGCUUAACCCUGGCCUUGCAGUGGAUACGGGCAGACUAGAGGUAGGUAGGGGAGAAUGGAACUCCCGGUGUAGCGGUGAAAUGCGCAGAUAUCGGGAGGAACACCGGUGGCGAAGGCGGUUCUCUGGGCCUUACCUGACGCUGAGGAGCGAAAGCGUGGGGAGCGAACAGG